Molecule: non-coding RNA, 45 nt
Filed under: Schistosoma curassoni
Lineage: Eukaryota; Metazoa; Platyhelminthes; Trematoda; Strigeidida; Schistosomatidae
Source: RNAcentral
AUCCAGCUGACCAGUCUCAAAUAGGAAGAAACGCGCGUUCUGGAU